CCUACGGGAGGCAGCAGUGAGGAAUAUUGGUCAAUGGGCGGGAGCCUGAACCAGCCAAGUCGCGUGAGGGAAGACGGUCCUAUGGAUUGUAAACCUCUUUAGGCGGGGAGCAAUGCCGGGCACGCGUGCCCGGAGGGAGAGUACCCGCAGAAUAAGCAUCGGCUAACUCCGUGCCAGCAGCCGCGGUAAUACGGAGGAUGCGAACGUUAUCCGGAUUUAUGGGGUUGAAAGGGUGCGUAGGCGGAUUUUUAAGUCAGCGGUAAAAUGUCCGGGCUCAACCCGGGCCGGCCGUUGAAACUGGGGAUCUUGAGUGUGCGAGAAGUAUGCGGAAUGCGUGGUGUAGCGGUGAAAUGCAUAGAUAUCACGCAGAACUCCGAUUGCGAAGGCAGCAUACCGGCGCCCGACUGACGCUGAGGCACGAAAGCGUGGGGAUCGAACAGGAUUAGAUACCCGAGUAGUC
Molecule: ribosomal RNA, 460 nt
Filed under: uncultured bacterium
Lineage: Bacteria
Description: partial 16S ribosomal RNA
Rfam family: Bacterial small subunit ribosomal RNA
Source: RNAcentral